Mytilus californianus (California mussel) is the source of this 380-nucleotide long non-coding RNA. RefSeq lists it as uncharacterized. The record is from RefSeq and is a predicted model, not a curated record. Lineage: Eukaryota; Metazoa; Mollusca; Bivalvia; Mytilida; Mytilidae. The transcript is spliced from 3 exons.
ACAAGUAUCACAAUUCAGUGGAUUCCUGGAUAUGCUGGCGGACAAAUACAAACGUUUUACAUUGAAUAUCGUAUAGUUGGAAGAAGUGUAUGGAUGUCUCAUGAAAUCGUAACCAGUAACAAGUUAGAUUUUCCAAAGGUUUACACAUUGUUCGGGCUUCAAGAUAAAACAUCAUACGAACUAAAGAUGUAUGCAGAAAAUAUAUUUAACCAGAGCCAACGUACAGAUAUUCAGACACAAACAACUUCAAUGAAAGAAGUAAGCACAUCAUUAGACGCAAUUAUUGGUGGCGUAUCAGGUGUAGUGGUAACAUUACUCCUUGUGUUCACUGUUAUCAUUGUCGUAAAUAGACGGAGAAAAGGAAAGAAACAAAAUAAAAA